UCCAGGAUGCCGUACUUCACUACUUCCCAUAUGUCUAAUAUAUUCCAUAUGGAAUGUGUUGAAGUAUGGAACUCUGGC
Molecule: microRNA precursor, 78 nt
Filed under: Stegodyphus mimosarum
Lineage: Eukaryota; Metazoa; Arthropoda; Arachnida; Araneae; Eresidae
Description: mir-1 microRNA precursor family
Rfam family: mir-1 microRNA precursor family
About the family: This family represents the microRNA (miRNA) mir-1 family. miRNAs are transcribed as ~70nt precursors (modelled here) and subsequently processed by the Dicer enzyme to give a ~22nt product. In this case the mature sequence comes from the 3' arm of the precursor.
Source: Rfam by way of RNAcentral